Molecule: ribosomal RNA, 433 nt
Filed under: uncultured bacterium
Lineage: Bacteria
Description: partial 16S ribosomal RNA
Rfam family: Bacterial small subunit ribosomal RNA
Source: RNAcentral
AACGAACGCUGGCGGCAUGCCUAACACAUGCAAGUCGAACGAGACCUUCGGGUCUAGUGGCGCACGGGUGCGUAACGCGUGGGAACCUGCCCUUAGGUUCGGAAUAACUCCCCGAAAGGGGUGCUAAUACCGGAUAAUGUCUUCGGACCAAAGAUUUAUCGCCUUUGGAUGGGCCCGCGUUGGAUUAGCUAGUUGGUAGGGUAAAAGCCUACCAAGGCGACGAUCCAUAGCUGGUCUGAGAGGAUGAUCAGCCACACUGGGACUGAGACACGGCCCAGACUCCUACGGGAGGCAGCAGUGGGGAAUAUUGGAGAAUGGGCGAAAGCCUGAUCCAGCAAUGCCGCGUGAGUGAUGAAGGCCUUAGGGUUGUAAAGCUCUUUUACACGGGAUGAUAAUGACAGUACCGGGAGAAUAAGCUCCGGCUAACUCCGUG